Molecule: ribosomal RNA, 301 nt
Filed under: uncultured bacterium
Lineage: Bacteria
Description: partial 16S ribosomal RNA
Rfam family: Bacterial small subunit ribosomal RNA
Source: RNAcentral
CAGCCGCCGCGGUAAUACGUAGGUGGCAAGCGUUGUCCGGAAUUAUUGGGCGUAAAGGGCUCGCAGGCGGUUUCUUAAGUCUGAUGUGAAAGCCCCCGGCUCAACCGGGGAGGGUCAUUGGAAACUGGGAAACUUGAGUGCAGAAGAGGAGAGUGGAAUUCCACGUGUAGCGGUGAAAUGCGUAGAGAUGUGGGGGAACACCAGUGGCGAAGGCGACUCUCUGGUCUGUAACUGACGCUGAGGAGCGAAAGCGUGGGGAGCGAACAGGAUUAGAUACCCGUGUAGUCCCUGUCUCUUAUAC